Molecule: long non-coding RNA, 1656 nt
Filed under: Betta splendens (Siamese fighting fish)
Lineage: Eukaryota; Metazoa; Chordata; Actinopteri; Anabantiformes; Osphronemidae
Description: lncRNA (ENSBSLG00000003216.1)
Source: RNAcentral
AUGGCGAGUGAACACACCGAGACCCACGCGGGGAACCGCGUGCAAAGUGCUCCUGCGACCGACGCGAACGAGCACGAUUACGCGCACACCGCGGACGGCGGCUUUGCUCCCGCAGAGGCGCCCCCGUCCUCCGGUGCCCCCGCGCCUCGCGGCGUCCACGUCAAGGCGGAGCCGGAGCCCUUCGUCUCCUCACCCGCGGAGCUGCCCGAACCCGCGGUGGGCGCGGAGGUGGACUGUCCCGGUGGAAGUGAAACGGAACCUCCGUCCCUAUCGCUGUCCCUAAGCGACGACGACCCCCCAAAGCCUCCAGUCACCGGAACUGCGAGCACCGCGCGCCGCGGCCGGCGACGUGUCAACCGGCCGGAGGACGUGAACUGCGCCGGCUGCAGGUCGGAGUUUGAGAAGCAGGGCCGCUGCUUCUGUCGCAGGGCGGUGUACACCUUCACCAACCCGGAGACCGUGCAGUGGGUGUUCCCGGACUCCGUGGUCAACGACAAGUCGUUCCUGUGCGAGACGUGCGCGCAGGUCGUGAGGAGCAGGUGCAAACGCAAACAUACCGGGAAGCGGUACAUCUGGUUGAAGCCGCCUGAAGUGAAGCAGUCACAGAAGAGAAAGAAAGGCCGCAGGAUGGGGAAGAAGAGCAAAGCAGCGCUGCUGGUGAGCAAGUCCUGCUACAAGGCUGCGUUCAAAAUGCUGUGGUCCGCGAAAGGCGCCCGUAAGCCCAUGAUGGAGUUCUGGAGUAAACAGCUGAAGGAGGAGAUGAAGGCGCUUUCGAGGCAGGCGGACAGUCCGUUCCAUCAGAAGGUGUCCAACAGGAAGCCGCUGACGUCGUUCCCCUGGCGCCGCUGCCUGACCUGGGCCCAGGACAAGGCUCCGCUCGUCACCACCUGCCUCCGCUCACUGUUCCCUGACAUCAACGCUCUCUCCAAAAGCAGCCACCAGGUGUCGGAGGAGCAGGCCCAGAUGUUACUAGAGCGUCGAACAGUGGUGACGCUCUCUGUCCCGCUCUUCACGAGAAACAUCUGGAAAAACAACUUCCUGCAGGCUGCUCUAGGCGCCGAGCUCCGCUUGCAAGGCUGUGCUGGUUCUGCCCUGGAUGCUCUCAACACUAUGGGACUCUGUCAAAACAAAGACACCGUCAGGUUACUGCUGCACAGGCUCCAGAACGGCGAGAAAACCACAUCACACAACAGACACCAGAGGAUGAUGAUGACACCAGAGCAGCUUAAAGGAGAAGCCUUGAUGGAUGGAGAGGACGAGGAAGAGGAUGUUGAGAAGGAAGAAGAGGAAGGAGAAGAUGAUGAGGAGGAAGAGGAGGAGGAGGAAGAAGAAGAAGAGGAGGAGGAAGAGGAGGAGGAGGAAAUGGCAGAAGAGGAGGAAGUGGAAGAGGAAGAGGUGCAGGAUGGAGUGCAAGAAGAUGAGGAGGAGGAGGAGGAUCAAGUAGCAGAGGAAGAAGAGAAGAGGAGAAAGAAGAAUGUUAAGAAGCAGAGGAAGGAGCAGAAGAGAAAGCAGAGUGGGAAACGAAAGGCAAACGAGAGAGAGGAAGACGAGGGUGAAGAGGGAUCAGUGCAGAAGAAGAAUAGGGUGGUAGUAGUGAGGCUCGGGCUCCUAAAGGGACACUCAGAGGUUGGACUGUCCGACCUGUCGGCUCCAUGA